This 613-nucleotide ribosomal RNA is filed under the name uncultured organism. RNAcentral's name for it is "bacterial SSU rRNA". It matches the Rfam family "Bacterial small subunit ribosomal RNA", at positions 202 to 832 of the family's 1533-position model. The record is from RNAcentral.
UAAAGCUUUUGCGGUUUGGGAUGGGCCUGCGUCCUAUCAGGUAGUUGGUGAGGUAAAUGCUCACCAAGCCUAUGACGGGUAGCUGGUCUGAGAGGAUGGUCAGCCAGACUGGGACUGCGACACGGCCCAGACUCCUACGGGAGGCAGCAACUAGGAAUUGUGCGCAAUGGACGAAAGUCUGACGCCGCGACAUCGCGUGGAGGAUGAAGGUCUUCGGAUUGUAAACUCCUUUUCUUACCGAACAAGUUCUGAGUGUAGGUAAGGAAUAAGUGCCUGCUAACCACGUGCCAGAAGCAUCGGUAAUACGUGGGGCACGAGCGUUAUCCGGAUUUACUGGGCGUAAAGAGAAGCGUAGGCGGCUCGAUAAGUUUGGUGUUAAAUCUUCCGGCUCAACCGGAAACAAGCACCGAAAACUAUCGAGAUUGAGUCGAGUAGGGAAGAGGGGAAUUCCUGGUGGAGCGGUUAAAUGCGUAGAUAUCAGGAGGAAUACCAAGGGCGAGGGCACCUCUUUGGACUCGUACUGACGCUGAGGCUCGAAAGCGUGGGUAGCAAAACGGAUUAGAUACCCGUGUAGUCCACGCCGUAAACGAUCCCUGUUAGAUGUAUGUUUUGU